This 466-nucleotide ribosomal RNA is filed under the name uncultured bacterium. RNAcentral's name for it is "bacterial SSU rRNA". It matches the Rfam family "Bacterial small subunit ribosomal RNA", at positions 346 to 809 of the family's 1533-position model. The record is from RNAcentral.
AGGCAGCAGUGAGGAAUAUUGGUCAAUGGGCGGAAGCCUGAACCAGCCAAGUCGCGUGAGGGAAUAAGGCCCUACGGGUCGUAAACCUCUUUUGCCGGGGAGCAAGGGCCGGGACGAGUCCCGGUCCGGAGAGUACCCGGAGAAAAAGCAUCGGCUAACUCCGUGCCAGCAGCCGCGGUAAUACGGAGGAUGCGAGCGUUAUCCGGAUUUAUUGGGUUUAAAGGGUGCGUAGGCGGGCUUUUAAGUCAGCGGUAAAAAUUCGGGGCUCAACCCCGUCCGGCCGUUGAAACUGGGGGUCUUGAGUGGGCGAGAAGAAGGCGGAAUGCGUGGUGUAGCGGUGAAAUGCAUAGAUAUCACGCAGAACCCCGAUUGCGAAGGCAGCCUUCCGGCGCCCUACUGACGCUGAGGCACGAAAGUGCGGGGAUCGAACAGGAUUAGAUACCCUGGUAGUCCGCACAGUAAACGA